AGAGUUUGAUCAUGGCUCAGGACGAACGCUGGCGGCAGGCUUAACACAUGCAAGUCGAGCGCCCCGCAAGGGGAGCGGCAGACGGGUGAGUAACGCGUGGGAACGUGCCUUUCAGUUCGGAAUAAGCCGGGGAAACCUGGUCUAAUACCGGAUACGCCCUUAGGGGGAAAGAUUUAUCGCUGAAAGAUCGGCCCGCGUCAGAUUAGGUAGUUGGUGGGGUAAUGGCCUACCAAGCCGAUGAUCUGUAGGUGGUCUGAGAGGACGAUCACCCACACUGGGACUGAGACACGGCCCAGACUCCUACGGGAGGCAGCAGUGGGGAAUAUUGGACAAUGGGCGAAAGCCUGAUCCAGCCAUGCCGCGUGGAUGAAGAAGGCCCUAGGGUUGUAAAGUCCUUUCGGUGGUGAAGAUAAUGACGGUAACCACAUAAGAGCCCG
This 437-nucleotide ribosomal RNA is filed under the name uncultured Pseudaminobacter sp. RNAcentral describes it as "bacterial SSU rRNA". It matches the Rfam family "Bacterial small subunit ribosomal RNA", at positions 8 to 493 of the family's 1533-position model. The record is from RNAcentral. Lineage: Bacteria; Pseudomonadati; Pseudomonadota; Alphaproteobacteria; Hyphomicrobiales; Phyllobacteriaceae.